RNAcentral lists this ribosomal RNA (466 nucleotides) under uncultured bacterium. RNAcentral describes it as "bacterial SSU rRNA". It matches the Rfam family "Bacterial small subunit ribosomal RNA", at positions 28 to 492 of the family's 1533-position model. The record is from RNAcentral.
GAUGAACGCUGGCGGCGUGCUUAACACAUGCAAGUCGAACGAAGCACUUAAGACAGAUUCUUUCGGGAUGAAGACUUUUGUGACUGAGUGGCGGACGGGUGAGUAACGCGUGGGUAACCUGCCUUAUACAGGGGGAUAGCAGUUGGAAACGACUGGUAAUACCGCAUAAGCGCACAGUACCGCAUGGUACAGUGUGAAAAACUCCGGUGGUAUAAGAUGGACCCGCGUCUGAUUAGCUGGUUGGCAGGGUAACGGCCUACCAAGGCGACGAUCAGUAGCCGACCUGAGAGGGUGACCGGCCACAUUGGGACUGAGACACGGCCCAGACUCCUACGGGAGGCAGCAGUGGGGAAUAUUGCACAAUGGAGGAAACUCUGAUGCAGCGACGCCGCGUGAGUGAAGAAGUAUUUCGGUAUGUAAAGCUCUAUCAGCAGGGAAGAUAAUGACGGUACCUGACUAAGAAGCA